Molecule: ribosomal RNA, 475 nt
Filed under: uncultured bacterium
Lineage: Bacteria
Description: bacterial SSU rRNA
Rfam family: Bacterial small subunit ribosomal RNA
Source: RNAcentral
ACUCCUACGGGAGGCAGCAGUGGGGAAUAUUGCACAAUGGGCGCAAGCCUGAUGCAGCCAUGCCGCGUGUGUGAAGAAGGCCUUCGGGUUGUAAAGCACUUUCAGUCGUGAGGAAGGUAGUGUAGUUAAUAGCUGCAUUAUUUGACGUUAGCGACAGAAGAAGCACCGGCUAACUCCGUGCCAGCAGCCGCGGUAAUACGGAGGAUCCAAGCGUUAUCCGGAAUCAUUGGGUUUAAAGGGUCCGUAGGUGGAUGAUUAAGUCAGAGGUGAAAUCCUGCAGCUCAACUGUAGAAUUGCCUUUGAUACUGGUUGUCUUGAAUUAUUGUGAAGUAGUUAGAAUAUGUGGUGUAGCGGUGAAAAUGCAUAGAUAUCACAUAGAAUACCGAUUGCGAAGGCAGAUUACUAACAAUACAUUGACACUGAUGGACGAAAGCGUGGGGAGCGAACAGGAUUAGAUACCCUGGUAGGAUAGCGU